UGGCGGCAAGCUUAACACAUGCAAGUCGAACGGAUUGUUAUCAUAGCUUGCUAUGAUAACAAUUAGUGGCAGACGGGUGAGUAAUGCAUAGGAAUCUACCUAGUAGUAUGGGAUAGCCACUAGAAAUGGUGGGUAAUACUGUAUAAUCCCUGCGGGGGAAAGAUUUAUCGCUAUUAGAUGAGCCUAUGUUAGAUUAGCUAGUUGGUAGGGUAAAGGCCUACCAAGGCAGUGAUCUAUAGCUGGUCUGAGAGGAUGAUCAGCCACACUGGAACUGAGAUACGGUCCAGACUCCUACGGGAGGCAGCAGUGGGGAAUAUUGGACAAUGGGCGCAAGCCUGAUCCAGCUAUGCCGCGUGAGUGAGGAAGGCCUUAGGGUUGUAAAACUCUUUCAGUGGGGAAGAUAAUGACGGUACCCACAGAAGAAGUCCCGGCAAACUCCGUGCCAGCAGC
RNAcentral lists this ribosomal RNA (450 nucleotides) under Candidatus Anaplasma camelii. RNAcentral describes it as "bacterial SSU rRNA". It matches the Rfam family "Bacterial small subunit ribosomal RNA", at positions 37 to 515 of the family's 1533-position model. The record is from RNAcentral. Lineage: Bacteria; Pseudomonadati; Pseudomonadota; Alphaproteobacteria; Rickettsiales; Anaplasmataceae.